Molecule: ribosomal RNA, 253 nt
Filed under: uncultured bacterium
Lineage: Bacteria
Description: partial 16S ribosomal RNA
Rfam family: Bacterial small subunit ribosomal RNA
Source: RNAcentral
UACGUAGGGUGCAAGCGUUGUCCGGAAUUAUUGGGCGUAAAGAGCUCGUAGGCUGCUCGUCGCGUCUGCUGUGAAAACCCGAGGCUCAACCUCGGGCCUGCAGUGGGUACGGGCAGACUAGAGUGCGGUAGGGGAGAGUGGAAUUCCUGGUGUAGCGGUGGAAUGCGCAGAUAUCAGGAGGAACACCAAUGGCGAAGGCAGAUCUCUGGGCCGUAACUGACGCUGAGGAGCGAAAGCAUGGGGAGCGAACAGG